AUCAAAUACAAAGCUUUGGAUAGAUUAUUGGCUAUGUCUGGUUUUCUGAUCACUGACAAAGUGGAUUUUUAUUUUCUAAGGGCAAGAUUUGGUAAAGUAUGUAGACCAAUCAUAUAUUCUUCAUACUGUUUUAACAACCCAGUAACCCUGCCUUUUAAUGAAGUUUAUAUUUCAAGCUUUUCUACUAUUGUUUUUUCUUUCCUCUCUACGUUAAUCUGAGAUGUGGUAGAAAGUCCAUGAAGAUAAACAUUCAUACUAGGUCUUUAAAAUGUUCUUGUGCCAUUACAAAUGCAUUUAUGAUCUUCUCAAACCAGUCAUUGCCACAAUUAUUUUAACGGAACACUAGAGUGCUGAACUACAUGUUUCGGUGUCCAGCCCCCCACCCCACUCAGAAUUCCAUUAAAAAAGUAUUUACUUACCUUUUCACCAACGCUGUGGCUGGCCCUCUCUCCAUGGCUGAGGUCAUCAAUCUUGGAUCUCAUAGGAAAGCAUUUGGAGGCUAUUGCAUGCGUGGCAAAACGCUGUGCUGUGUUGAUCAGCAUCACCUCACAAAGAUGCAUUAAAUCAAUGUAUCUCUAUGGGGUGGGUUCAGCUUCUCCAUGCAGAGCGUGGAGACGCUGAACAUAGGACCUGCAUAGAUUGCAGGACCUAGCCAGGAAGUUCCUCUAGUAGUUGUCUGAGUGACAGUCAUU
Molecule: non-coding RNA, 692 nt
Organism: Pelobates cultripes (western spadefoot toad)
Lineage: Eukaryota; Metazoa; Chordata; Amphibia; Anura; Pelobatidae
Source: the annotation of a GenBank genome assembly